GAUGAACGCUGGCGGCGUGCCUAAUACAUGCAAGUCGAACGAGGUGCUUUUGUAGCAAUACGAGGGUAUCCUAGUGGCGAACGGGUGAGUAACGCGUUGGUGACCUGCCCCAAAGUGUGGGAUAACAGUCCGAAAGGAUUGCUAAUACCGCAUGUGGUCCUCGGGUUUAGAAACCGAUGACUAAAGCAGUAAUGCGCUUUGGGAGGGACCUGCGUCCCAUCAGCUAGUUGGUGAGGUAACGGCCCACCAAGGCGACGACGGGUAGGGGGCCUGAGGAGGGUCGGCCCCCCACAAUGGAACUGAAACACGGUCCAUACACCUACGGGUGGCAG
Molecule: ribosomal RNA, 332 nt
Filed under: uncultured Chloroflexota bacterium
Lineage: Bacteria; Bacillati; Chloroflexota
Description: bacterial SSU rRNA
Rfam family: Bacterial small subunit ribosomal RNA
Source: RNAcentral